UAAAUCCAAUCAAAUGUGUAAAUAUGUUAUAAAAAAUUAUUUUCCGUCUUUGUAACAUGUUUAAACACAGUACAUUGAAACAACGGCUUGUUAAUGCCGAGUACAGUUAGUGGAGGGGAGCCUAGCUAAACUGUACUCCGGUGCACUUAUAAAACUUUUUAUUAUGAGGAAAUACAGGCGGCUCUACGAGUUUUAUAGGAUUCACUCUCUCAGAAGCACAAUAGUUGCGCUUGGUUAAAGUUUUGAAUGGUACCGGUGCUGUUUGCAAAUGAGUUAGCGCCCGGAAAAAGGCUCUGUGUCAUAGUGCCAGCAAUUAGCCGGGUCCCUUUUCUUUAACCCGAGAGUGGAGCGCAUAAGCGAACAGGUGAAGAUAACAUUUUAUAGUCGAGUUGACUGUUAUUUUAACGAAGUGGCAUUCACGUGACUCGCAUAGAUCCCAAGCCUUUUUUCGGGGGUCGGUUGGUUGUUUUUAAAUCUUUCUAGGCUUGAAUUUUCAGAUAUAGAAGGGGACUCUGUGUCUUCAUAAUAAAACAUAUUUGAUGUUGUUGUUUGAGCGCAUUAAGUGUCCUUAUUUGGGCAAUCACAAUCAUGAAAGCAGCCACCCCAUUGAUAACAGCAGCGAAGAUGACCUCUUAUGUCAGCCAGACCGAUAUGGUUAUACUACUAACUAAAGUCAUUUAAGAAUACUGUUAAUAUGCUCACACAUCCUUUUUCAACCCUAACAGUUGUUGUUGUCCUGAUCCAUCUGAAGGACAGCGUCCUUAAAAAAAGGAGGAGAAGCACAAGAUGAUGGAGGUUGAAAUGCUGAAGAGGGACGCUGAUGACCAGCUGCUAGAACCUCUGAUGGUUGCUAAGUGUUCCCAGCACAGAAAAGAGAUUAUUAGAGAUCACCCAAACAUCACAGAGCUCAUUUCCCGAUGGCCAGCUAUGUUCAACGAGAGACACGACUUUGCAUUAAUUCCACCGAGAGAUUUAAUGAUAUGUUAAGACAGUAUGGACUGUGUCCUAUUGAGAAAUGUUUUAUUUUCUGUUUUAUCACUUCAGAUUAGAGCAGAAUUCAGGAGAAUCAUCACUACAGACCUUCUCAAAUCUUUUCUUGACGAACUUGAUGGCUGGAGGCAGACAAAGCAGCAACCAAGUCUGGAAAGAAGUCUCUCAAAGGCAUUUUGGACUGCCUUGUGAAAGAUGACACAAAUGAAAGGAGACAGGCUGCUGCUCUGCUUGGUUUGCCACUCUACAUAUCAGGGGAAGAUCCAUCAGCUGUCAUCAGGAUGUGUGAUGCUCAUGUUGACACUUUGGUUGAUGCCAUGAAGGGGAUGCAGCUUGGCCUCCUGAUAGCCUGUGAAGGUGGUGAACAGGAUCCCAUUCCACACGAGACCUUCGAUGUGGCAGUUGUGGUGGAGGAGACCAUUGUGCUUCACAACAUGAAAGAUGUGGCCCAGAGCUUUGCCAUGCUUAUGGGUGUCAUCUACUGUGUCAAUCCCAAGUACCCAGAUGACAUGAAGUAUUCCUUUGACUUUCUUCAGAGAGUGGUGAUGAAGAUCAGACCAGAGCAGGCUUUGGCUCGAGUACAUGGAUUGAGAAACAGAAUCCUGAGGUACAAACUGUAACAUUUAUGUUUUAAGUUUCAUUGUCACUUCUAGAAGGUGCUCUUGUAAAAAUUUGUUCAGUUCUUUUUCUAUAAACAAAAACUUUCAGUAUUGUGCUGAAAUGAUGUUCUUUACAAAAAAAACAUCCCUCUCAUCACUGUCAUUGUGAGAUUGCUAAGACAUUGAUCUUGUAGCACUUUAUUAUAUUGGACUGUUUGUGUGAUGAUGCUGAUUUUAUUGAGUUUGCGCUGCAAUUGUUUAAUGUUAAUGUUUACAGCACUUUAAGCAAACUUCUGUUAAAUGUGUUUUGUGAAUAUAUUGGAUUUAGAUCGUGUGGUUAGAAUGUUCUCAUUUAAUAUAGUCUAACUUUCACAUAUGUUGUCUUGGAGAUAAAUGUUCUGAUUUACACUCGCUUUAAGGCUCGUCAAAUCUGUGAAAACUGUAUUUGAUGAGAAAA
Molecule: long non-coding RNA, 2046 nt
Organism: Archocentrus centrarchus (flier cichlid)
Lineage: Eukaryota; Metazoa; Chordata; Actinopteri; Cichliformes; Cichlidae
Exons: 3
Source: RefSeq, a predicted model, not a curated record